This 400-nucleotide ribosomal RNA is filed under the name Bacillus sp. PK5. RNAcentral describes it as "bacterial SSU rRNA". It matches the Rfam family "Bacterial small subunit ribosomal RNA", at positions 39 to 419 of the family's 1533-position model. Lineage: Bacteria; Bacillati; Bacillota; Bacilli; Caryophanales; Bacillaceae. The record is from RNAcentral.
GAGGUGUUAACAGGGGACCGUAAGACGUAAUCGGCGAGCGAAAAAACCGUAGCUUGCUUUCAUGAAGUUAGCGGCGGACGGGUGAGUAACACGUGGGUAACCUGCCCAUAAGACUGGGAUAACUCCGGGAAACCGGGGCUAAUACCGGAUAACAUUUUGAACCGCAUGGUUCGAAAUUGAAAGGCGGCUUCGGCUGUCACUUAUGGAUGGACCCGCGUCGCAUUAGCUAGUUGGUGAGAGAACGGCUCACCAAGGCAACAUGCGUAGCCGACCUGAGAGGGUGAUCGGCCCCACUGGGACUGAGACACGGCCCANAUUCCUACGGGAGGCACCAGUAGGGAAUCUUCCCCAAUGGACAAAGUCUGACGGAGCACCGCCCCCGUGAGUGAUGAAGGUUUCG